UCCCACUCUGAGAUGGAAACCUUUGGCAGAAUCACAUUCUUACAUUUCUGUGUUCAUGUAUUUGAAGUGAAAUUAAAGUUAUUUAUAGCUUAAUGGCAAGAAAGUGAAAGUGGAAUGUGCUAAAAAAUAGAAUUAUCCUUUUCAGUGAAUCUAAAUAUUUUCCUUCCUCUGUCUAAAAGAAGCUUCAUCUCCUCUCUCUGUUUACACCAGCUUUACUGUCUGAUUGGCUUUUGGAGACUCAGAUUUGAAGCCAAACAGAAAAGUCGAUAUUGUUUUCACAGAAUGUUUUCUAACAGGAAAUAUUUGUCAAACAUUUGUUUCCAGUUUCUGUCCUUCCAUGUGUUGUCCCUUAAUCUGAACUGGAACCAAAUGAAGCAGAGUGUAAUCACCUCCUAUGAGCCAUCCUGCCACAAUAAUCAUCCAUGCAGUCUCUUUUGUGGAACCACAAGGGAGCCUGGAGUGACUGGAGCCCCACUGGAUCAUCACCAGUAGGAAGAAUAAAAACAACUACAGGAGAAGUUUUUAGAAGGCCAGUAAAGAGAGCAUGGAGGCAGAUGGAGGAUGCCACGUCCACUGAAUCUACACGCUUCCUGUUUCCACCUCAUCCUUCCAGUGCUCUACUAUACUCCCUGCUCUCUCUACCACAGCUGCCUUUGAACUUGGCUGGGCCAGGUCUGACUCCAGUCAGGUCACAUGACACAGGGGUGUGCUCUGAUAUCAGCAGGCAGGUCAGUGGAGCCCUCUGGUGA
This 749-nucleotide long non-coding RNA is filed under the name Oreochromis niloticus (Nile tilapia). RNAcentral describes it as "lncRNA (ENSONIG00000041060.1)". Lineage: Eukaryota; Metazoa; Chordata; Actinopteri; Cichliformes; Cichlidae. The record is from RNAcentral.